Oncorhynchus tshawytscha (Chinook salmon) is the source of this 655-nucleotide long non-coding RNA. NCBI's taxonomy places the organism in Eukaryota, Metazoa, Chordata, Actinopteri, Salmoniformes, Salmonidae. The record is from Ensembl.
GUGUGUGUGAGAGAGGGAGAGAGGGAGUGUGUGUGUGUGUGAGAGAGGGAGUGUGUGUGUGUGUGUGUGUGUGUGUGAGAGAGGGAGUGUGUGUGUGUGUGUGUGAGAGAGGGGUGUGUGUGUGUGUGUGUGAGAGAGGGAGUGUGUGUGUGUGUGAGAGGGAGUGUGUGUGAGAGGGAGUGUGUGUGUGUGUGAGAGAGGGAGUGUGUGUGUGUGUGAGAGAGAGGAGUGUGUGUGUGUGUGUGUGUGAGAGAGGGAGUGUGUGUGUGUGUGUGAGAGAGGGAGUGUGUGUGUGUGAGAGAGGGAGUGUGUGUGUGUGAGAGAGGGAGUGUGUGUGUGUGAGAGAGGGAGUGUGUGUGUGUGAGAGAGGGAGUGUGUGUGUGUGUGAGAGGAGUGUGUGUGUGUGAGAGGGAGUGUGUGUGUGAGAGGUGUGUGUGUGUGAGAGAGGGAGUGUGUGUGAGUGUGAGAGGGAGUGUGUGUGAGAGAGAGGGAGUGUGUGUGUGUGUGAGAGGGAGUGUGUGUGUGUGUGAGAGGGAGUGUGUGUGUGAGAGGGAGUGUGUGUGUGAGAGGGAGUGUGUGUGUGAGAGAGGGUGUGUGUGUGAGAGAGGGUGUGUGUGUGUGAGAGAGGGUGUGUGUGUGAGAGAGGGUGUGUGUG